Molecule: ribosomal RNA, 465 nt
Filed under: Vreelandella stevensii
Lineage: Bacteria; Pseudomonadati; Pseudomonadota; Gammaproteobacteria; Oceanospirillales; Halomonadaceae
Description: partial 16S ribosomal RNA
Rfam family: Bacterial small subunit ribosomal RNA
Source: RNAcentral
CCUACGGGAGGCUGCAGUGGGGAAUAUUGGACAAUGGGGGCAACCCUGAUCCAGCCAUGCCGCGUGUGUGAAGAAGGCCCUCGGGUUGUAAAGCACUUUCAGUGAGGAAGAACGCCUGGUGGUUAAUACCCAUCAGGAAAGACAUCACUCACAGAAGAAGCACCGGCUAACUCCGUGCCAGCAGCCGCGGUAAUACGGAGGGUGCGAGCGUUAAUCGGAAUUACUGGGCGUAAAGCGCGCGUAGGUGGCUUGAUAAGCCGGUUGUGAAAGCCCUGGGCUCAACCUGGGAACGGCAUCCGGAACUGUCAAGCUAGAGUGCAGGAGAGGAAGGUAGAAUUCCCGGUGUAGCGGUGAAAUGCGUAGAGAUCGGGAGGAAUACCAGUGGCGAAGGCGGCCUUCUGGACUGACACUGACACUGAGGUGCGAAAGCGUGGGUAGCAAACAGGAUUAGAUACCCGGGUAGUC